Long non-coding RNA from Epinephelus moara (kelp grouper), 186 nucleotides. RefSeq lists it as uncharacterized. The record is from RefSeq and is a predicted model, not a curated record. The transcript is spliced from 3 exons. NCBI's taxonomy places the organism in Eukaryota, Metazoa, Chordata, Actinopteri, Perciformes, Serranidae.
CAUCAUACAGGGCAUACAUUCCUGUUCAAAAUAUCAUCACCUGCUGUUCCAGGAGACGCAGCCAGCAGCUGGAAUCCAGUCUGAGGAGGCGUUCAGGGACUUCAGUAGCUGGAGCCAUGGCAGUCAGCUGGAUCAUUCUGUUCUAUGGCCUGGGACUGGCAGCAGCUAAGCUAACGGGUGAUACAG